RNAcentral lists this transfer RNA (78 nucleotides) under Erinaceus europaeus (western European hedgehog). It matches the Rfam family "tRNA". Rfam says of the family: Transfer RNA (tRNA) molecules are approximately 80 nucleotides in length. The record is from Rfam by way of RNAcentral. Lineage: Eukaryota; Metazoa; Chordata; Mammalia; Eulipotyphla; Erinaceidae.
GAAGAUAGCACAGGGGUUGUGCACCUGACUUACAUGCCUGAGGCCCAGGGGCCCCAGGUUCAAUCCCUGGCAUCUUCU